GCAGACCUUCCAACGCUUCACUUCAAAAUGUUCUCUGUACGCAAAUUAACUUCAAAUAUAUUUGUAUCAAUAUUUCUGUCAAUUUUCGUCCUAUUUGUGCAAAAAUGGAUACUGCCGAGACCCAAAAAGAGUAACAAUUAAAAUAUAAUUUAAAUAUUGAAACAAUAACGAAGGCCAACAGCUCAGACCUUGUCCCUCUGUAACUUUGUAUGGCAAAAGCUAUUAACAGUUCGAAAAUUGUACAAAUCCCCAAAGCGAGUUUCAACUUUAGACAUCAAAGUUUGGAAUGCAACUAAAACCCAAUUAGUUGCCACACCACAUAGCCCUCUGCCUCACCUUACAUGGCAUGUAAUUCCAUGAGCAUGUCCCAAAAACUAAGCAAAAACAAAGCCAAAGCUCAAGUCAAGGCUGCUGUUCUGCCGCUUCUCAUUUCGAGUCAAUAAAUAUUGAACCCCAAGCGGGGAAACAAGUUGCUCUGCGAAGUGAGUUUUAUUUGGC
This 498-nucleotide long non-coding RNA is filed under the name Drosophila guanche. The record is from RNAcentral. Lineage: Eukaryota; Metazoa; Arthropoda; Insecta; Diptera; Drosophilidae.